CUUUGUAUCCAGAAUAUCCUGCCAGUUUUGCCAAGCUAAGCAGGGUCAGGCAAGAUUAGUGCUUAGAUGGAAGACACUGGGUGAAAGCACAUGUGACACCAGGA
This 104-nucleotide ribosomal RNA is filed under the name Sphenodon punctatus (tuatara). Lineage: Eukaryota; Metazoa; Chordata; Lepidosauria; Sphenodontia; Sphenodontidae. The record is from RNAcentral.